UACGGAGGAUCCGAGCGUUAUCCGGAUUUAUUGGGUUUAAAGGGUGCGCAGGCGGGGGAUUAAGUCGGCGGUGAAAUUUUGCAGCUCAACUGUAAAAGUGCCUUCGAAACUGGUUUCCUUGAGUGUAGAUGAAGUAGGCGGAAUUUGUGGUGUAGCGGUGAAAUGCUUAGAUAUCACGAGGAACUCCGAUUGCGCAGGCAGCUUACUAAACUACUACUGACGCUCAGGCACGAAGGCGUGGGGAUCAAACAGGAUUAGAUACCCUGGUAGUCCCUGA
This 277-nucleotide ribosomal RNA is filed under the name uncultured prokaryote. RNAcentral describes it as "partial 16S ribosomal RNA". It matches the Rfam family "Bacterial small subunit ribosomal RNA", at positions 524 to 800 of the family's 1533-position model. The record is from RNAcentral.